Molecule: ribosomal RNA, 253 nt
Filed under: uncultured bacterium
Lineage: Bacteria
Description: partial 16S ribosomal RNA
Rfam family: Bacterial small subunit ribosomal RNA
Source: RNAcentral
UACGUAGGGUGCAAGCGUUAAUCGGAAUUACUGGGCGUAAAGGGCGCGUAGGCGGCGAUCCUAGUCAGAUGUGAAAGUCCUGGGCUUAACCUGGGGACUGCAUUUGAUACUGGAUUGCUUGAAUUCGGGAGAGGAUAGCGGAAUUCCCAGUGUAGAGGUGAAAUUCGUAGAUAUUGGGAAGAACACCGGUGGCGAAGGCGGCUAUCUGGACCGACAUUGACGCUGAGGCGCGAAAGCGUGGGGAGCAAACAGG